CAUGGUGAUUGGGCAGUGGGGAUUCUAUAUGCAGAUAGAGUGCAGGAGCCUGUGAUGGUUAAGGUCAGUUGGAAAAUAUAGACAGAUAGAUAGAUAGAUAGAUAGAUAGAUAGAUAGAUAGAUAGAUGGCAGGGGUCUGCAAAGAUUGGGGUCAUGAGGGAGGAAAGAGCCCCUUCAGGAGAUGGAGGCUGCCACUGUGUGAAUUAGAUGAGGAAACAAGAUGAACAAGAUCUGUUAACUCAAGGAGGGAGAGGGAGGAAGAGAAGAAAGACAGAAGAGUGAGUGGAGGAGAGAGAGAGAGAAAAAGAGAGGAGGGGAAGAGAGAAAGAAGGAAGGGCGAGCAAUGGGCCUGAGCCUGUCAGCGGCCUGUGGGGAACGAGCAGCCAUGGUGGUGGUGACAGCAAGGAAGGGCCCAGUCAACCACUGCUGCUGUUUGGGGCUACCGAGGCAAUUGGCGGAGGAGGCAGGCAGGCAAGGGACGGGCCCGGGCCUGUCAGCAGCCUGAGGGGAAUGAGCGGUCAUGGCAGUGGCAGCAGUGAGGAAGGGCCCAGUCAACCACUUCUGCUGCUGCUCCUGUUUGGAGGAGCAGUAGCGGGCCUUGGAUGCAAGUGAGAAGGUCUCUGGGAAUAGGGGGCUGCAGCUUGCCAAUAGGCGCCACAAUGCUUCAGCCAUGACCAAGAAGGUUGAGGGGGAUGAAGUAAAGGGACGGAGGAGUGACCAAGAGAGGUGAGGGGGAUGGAAGCAAUGGGAUGCAGGAGGAGGAGCAGGAGUGCGACUCAGGAGAGGGUGGAGAGAUACCAGGGAUUGAACCAGAGGCCUUCUGCAUGCAAAACAUGUACUCUGCUACGUCUUAGUUUUACAUAAUCUAAACUUGUGUGUGUAAGAGCAGAAUGUGCCUUCAACUUAUUUGGGGAUAAGGCAUGUCUCAGAACUUUGGGAAAUAUUAAUUUAAGGUGAAACUGGUUGGUGCAAAAUGAGUCAUGUUGACUUUCUCAGAUGGUUCACAUCUUGCUCUAGAGAAGAACUUGUGUACUCGAACAGAUCAGAACCUCGUUAUGUUCUUAUGAGUUGUAGUCAACAACAUCUGGAAACCCCUGUUAGCGGGAACACUGCUUAUAGGUAUAAUUCACUAGAAGAGUGGAGCACUGUUAUGCUUUUGUGCAGCCCUUUAAAAUGGGAUUUGCAUUAAAGAGCUUUAUUGGUGUAUUCAGUGUCUGGUCAGCUUCCCUUAACAGAUAUGCUGCAGUUUCAAUAUAUAUGCCAUGGAAAAUAUUCUGAAGAUAGUUAAAUGUUUCUAAAGCUUUCUAUGGCUGCACAAGCGAUCAUUGUAUUCAAGAGGAUACUGAUGGCAGGUCUCUGUGCUGCUGUCUCAGAGGGAAGUAGCAACUACCUUCUGAUGUGCUCUUGGGUGGCCUCAAGGCUUCUGUUGAAAACUGAGCUUCUCAGGGUUCUGUGUAGGGGGUGUGUGAGUAAAUCCAAGGCUACGUGGGGCAAAUUUGUCUUGUUCGAUUUCAAUGGCUGAAGAGGAAGGAAUGACUUGCAGCAAAAUGGUGGGUCACACAGAUCACUAAGGGAAAUUUCAUGAAGAGCCCUGGCAUGAGGGAAGCAAACCUAGAGUAGUGAUCUGGAUAAGAUUUGGCAAUAUGCAGACACUGGCAUUCUCUUACAAGUAUUCUGCAAAUGCUGUUGAAUUUUGCUUCAGUGGGCAGAUUCUGUGAGUUUCAGAUAGCCCUCUAUCCCUUGUGUUACAAGGCAAAGUGCAAUGAACUUGUGUCACCUCCUACUAUUUCUGGGUCCAUACAUAUGCUGGAAUGAACUGGUAGAAUGGACUGUACCUCUUUCGUCUGUGAGUGGAAGUAUUUCUUUUGAGUGUCUCCCCAUGUUUCCAGGGGGGUGGGUUGCUGGGGAAGCAUGCUGCAAGCAGAAAGCUAGAACAUUAAGGCAAAAGGCCCUAAUUUGUCAGCUGCGCUAGUUUUCUAUUCUAGAGAGUUCUUGACAUUGGGCAGCAAUUCAUCACCUCAUUUCCCUCCAUGUAUAAACUAGGCCAAGAUACUGAGAUGUGCAUCUGUCACUGAAGUAUGCAUCUGUCACUGGUUUUUUGUUUGUUUGUUUGUUUGUUUCCAGGGCACUAAAUACGAGCCAGCUGAAAGCCCUCAACACUGACAUGCUUCCUGGCUACCAGGAUCCUUACUCCUCAAGGGUUUUGACCAGAGGGGAGAUUGGAUGCUUUCUUAGCCACUACUAUAUCUGGAAGGAGGUGGUAGACAGAGAGAUGGAGAAGACCCUCGUCAUUGAAGAUGACGUGUGCUUUGAGCAUCCGUUCAAGAGGAAGCUCACAAAGUUGAUGGAAGAUAUUGAGAGAGCCCAGCUUGACUGGGACCUCAUGUAAUUAGCAGUCCACCUCAUGUUGCCUGCUGAAGGUCUCCCUUCUGUGGAGCUUAGGAGUGGUCUACAGGCAUGCUUGCAAGAGCUGGCACUGGCAGCCCAAAUACUGAGUGCCAAGUACAUGAAAUAUUAUGAAACCAGGGACCUGAAAGCCUUCUCGCCGGAGCCUCUGCUGGUCUAUCCAACCCACUACACUGGGCAGCCAGGUUACCUCAGUGACACAGAGACCUCCACAAUCUGGGACAAUGAGACUGUGUCCACUGACUGGGACAGAACGCUGUCUCGAAAAACGCAGCAGCAGGGCCAGAUCCACACAGAUGCCCAGAACAAAGAUGCCUUGCCACCUCAGCCCUCUCUCAACCCAUCCUCUGCGAGAGACGAACUAUGACUGCUCACUUGGCCAUGGUGCCCUGACAAUAUCGGCAGCAAGAGCUGAACAUGCCUUGUGCUCCAUCUUUUGGUCUAGGAACCUUCAGAGAUAUCAGUGUGCUGUGUGAACUGGGAAACAAGUCAAUGGGGUCUGACUGCCUGCAAGUAAAAGAAUAGUAUGGGGAAUUCAUCAGCCUGAGUGGAUCAGGCUGGGAGACUUUGGAGAAAUGUAUUGACGGCAAGCCACAUUUUUGGCUCAAGAUAUUUUGGUGCUGCACGGUAUCUCUGAUGACUUCCUGGAAGACUUUACAGAGCAGCAUGUUUCUGCUGAGAAAGGUUCCUUGAAUGAUGACUUUCUACAGAUCAAUGUGUAGAAUUACUGUAUUUAUAAAGAUUAAUAUAUGCAGGGAUUAGGAGAGGUGCACAGGAUUUUUCAAGUUUUGAUUGCUGCUGCUGAACAUGAAUUGUUGCUAGUUUUGUGCUGUCAACCAUAUUCUUUGAGAGGAGUAAAAGGAAGGGGACCUUGUUUUCUUUUUCAAAGGGACAAUCAAAAAUUAUCUCCCCUCUCUCCCUAUCAGAGACCCUAGUCGAUCUCUGUGAUGUCAGUUCUGUGAGUCACUAAAGGCUUGGCUCCUUCCUGGAGUCAAAUCAAAACUACAAGGACUGGUGGUCGUUUCUAAGAAUAUUACAACUUGCAGUUUACAGAGCGCUUUACAGUUCACAGUCUUUCUUACCGUCAGCAUAACCCUUUGGGGAUAGGUCACUGUUGUUCCCAUUUUAUAGAUGGUGAAGUGAUGUUGAGAGGCUUAGAGCUGGGUCACACAUGUUCUUAUUAAGUAUCAAGUGGUGAUUUGCAUGUGUGACAGAUUAACUCCCACAGGCAGAACUUUCCC
Molecule: RNA transcript, 3647 nt
Organism: Hemicordylus capensis (graceful crag lizard)
Lineage: Eukaryota; Metazoa; Chordata; Lepidosauria; Squamata; Cordylidae
Gene name: procollagen galactosyltransferase 2-like
Exons: 3
Source: RefSeq, a predicted model, not a curated record